CAGAGAUAACAAAUUUUGAGCACGAUGAUGCAAGGUCUAUAAAUGUGAUGUUCUACGAAAGUUGCCAAUAUUGCUUCCAAGAUAUGGAAUCACAAAAGAUCAAAAGAGGCUUCAACUUUUUAAAUGUAUUAAUUUAAUAUAAAAGCAAGGUUGUGGUUGUUGGUGUUAAAAAUACCAAUACAAAAUAGAGAAAGAGAGAAUAGGGAAAACAAAA
Molecule: long non-coding RNA, 214 nt
Filed under: Medicago truncatula (barrel medic)
Lineage: Eukaryota; Viridiplantae; Streptophyta; Magnoliopsida; Fabales; Fabaceae
Description: long non-coding RNA (MTRU_LNC000556)
Source: RNAcentral